UACAGAGGUCUCAAGCGUUGUUCGGAUUCAUUGGGCGUAAAGGGCGCGUAGGCGGCGGGGUCAGUCGGGUGUGAAAUCUUGGGGCUUAACCCCGAAACGGCACUCGAAACUGCCCGGCUGGAGGGCCGGAGAGGAGAUCGGAAUUCACGGUGUAGCAGUGAAAUGCGUAGAGAUCAGGCAGAACACCUGGGGCGAAGGCGGCCGGCUGGGCCGUCCCUGACGCUGAGGCGCGAAGGCGUGGGGAGCGAACGGG
Molecule: ribosomal RNA, 253 nt
Filed under: uncultured bacterium
Lineage: Bacteria
Description: partial 16S ribosomal RNA
Rfam family: Bacterial small subunit ribosomal RNA
Source: RNAcentral